This 404-nucleotide ribosomal RNA is filed under the name uncultured bacterium. RNAcentral's name for it is "bacterial SSU rRNA". It matches the Rfam family "Bacterial small subunit ribosomal RNA", at positions 356 to 774 of the family's 1533-position model. The record is from RNAcentral.
AGGGAAUAUUGCGCAAUGGGGGAAACCCUGACGCAGCGACGCCGCGUGAGUGAUGAAGGCCUUCGGGUCGUAAAGCUCUGUUGUACGGGAAGAAAUAAAUGACGGUACCGUAUAAGAAAGGACCGGCUAACUUCGUGCCAGCAGCCGCGGUAAUACGAGGGGUCCUAGCGUUGUUCGGAAUUAUUGGGCGUAAAGAGUACGUAGGCGGCUGAGUAAGUCAGGUGUGAAAGCCCCGGGCUCAACCCGGGAAGUGCAUUUGAUACUGCUCAGCUUGAGUACUGGAGAGGGUAGUGGAAUUCCAGGUGUAGUGGUGAAAUACGUAGAUAUCUGGAGGAACACCGGUGGCGAAGGCGGCUACCUAGCCAUGUACUGACGCUGAGGUACGAAAGCGUGGGGAGCAAACA